This 358-nucleotide transfer-messenger RNA is filed under the name Planctomycetota. Its description in RNAcentral is "Pla86 sp007751255 Standard tmRNA". It matches the Rfam family "transfer-messenger RNA". Rfam says of the family: Bacterial tmRNA, also known as 10Sa RNA or SsrA, is named for its dual tRNA and mRNA-like properties. Its role is to liberate the mRNA from a stalled ribosome. To accomplish this part of the tmRNA is used as a reading frame that ends in a translation stop signal. The record is from RNAcentral. Lineage: Bacteria; Pseudomonadati. RNAcentral also lists the same sequence under 1 other name.
GGGGGCGUACCGGUUUCGACUGGUUCUGAAUCCGCUGCGAGCUGCGUGUCGGGGAUCCCGAGUCACCCCGCUAAUCAUCCCGGGAAAGGCAUCUUUACGUGCCGACAACUACGCAAUCGCUGCCUAAUCAAUAGACAGCCGUCUCCAGGGGGUACGCCCGCGGCCCUUUGGAGACGCAAUCAGCGGGCUGGUCGCCGAACUGCGCCUCGGGGUGGAGCGACGAGACUUACCGAGGCUGGGCUGGGCGUAGCAAGUUCGCGAGCGCCGACCGGCCGAGAAACAAAGCGCGAACUACACACGUAGACGCUCCGGUCGGGACGGUUCCAGGACGCGGGUUCAAUUCCCGCCGCCUCCACCA